UCAGCUGGACAGCUUAGCCAGUCAGCACAUUUUUCUCUCCAGUUGCCAUACAAUGUGCUAGGCUUGGGUCGUAGUGCGAAUUUCCUCGACCAUUUGUAUGUUGGCAUUCCUCGUCCUUUAGGAGAAAAGUCCAUAAGAAGACAAGAAUGGACAGCUAUCAUACCAAACUCCCAGCUUAUAGUUAUCCCCUAUCCGCAUAAUGUUCCUCGAAGCUGGAGUGCCAAGCUGUAUCUGACCCCAAGUAACAUCGUGCUGCUAACAGCUAUAGCCUUAAUUGGUGUUUGUGUUUUCAUCCUGGCAAUAAUUGGCAUAUUACACUGGCAAGAAAAGAAAGCAGAUGACAGAGAGAAGCGACAGGAGGCUCAUCGGUUCCAUUUUGAUGCUAUGUGACAUGCCUUAAUGUUUAUGAAGGAGCUGCUACUCAUUUGCUUAAUGGAAAUACUAAAUUCUGAUUUGUAAAAUGAUUACCGUGAAAAUAUUGCUGGUGUGUUAUUUGUAAAUGUUGCAUUAUUUGGUAUUUAUUUGGAAAGUAUUAAAAUUAGACCUGAAUGUCUCACAAGGCCUUUUAGUUACCGGACUGUAUAUAAUAGCAUUUGGUCUUUAUUUAACAGAACUGUAAAUUUAUUUUUCUUAGUAAAGGGAUCAUAUUGCAUGUACUGUUGUUUACAUACCACCAAUUCUUUAGUAAUGUUUGAUAGAAAGAAAGCUGUGUAAAUAAAAUUUAGUAUUUCAGCAAGCAGUAUACUUUGUACCACGUGAAUUGGUCUUGUCAUUUAUACAUUCCUGCAAAAUAAUCCGCAUUUCUGAAAAUUAAGCUUGAGCAAUUUCUCAGAUUACUUCAUCAUUAUUUAUUUUGAUUGUACUAAAUGGCGCUCA
Long non-coding RNA from Pterocles gutturalis (yellow-throated sandgrouse), 876 nucleotides. RefSeq lists it as uncharacterized. NCBI's taxonomy places the organism in Eukaryota, Metazoa, Chordata, Aves, Pterocliformes, Pteroclidae. The record is from RefSeq and is a predicted model, not a curated record. The transcript is spliced from 4 exons.